RNAcentral lists this ribosomal RNA (457 nucleotides) under uncultured bacterium. RNAcentral's name for it is "bacterial SSU rRNA". It matches the Rfam family "Bacterial small subunit ribosomal RNA", at positions 30 to 507 of the family's 1533-position model. The record is from RNAcentral.
AUUGAACGCUGGCGGCAUGCCUUACACAUGCAAGUCGAACGGUAACGGGCCUUCGGGUGCCGACGAGUGGCGAACGGGUGAGUAAUGUAUCGGAACGUACCUUUCAGUGGGGGAUAACGUAGCGAAAGUUACGCUAAUACCGCAUAUUCUGUGAGCAGGAAAGCAGGGGAUCGCAAGACCUUGCGCUGAUUGAGCGGCCGAUAUCAGAUUAGCUAGUUGGUGAGGUAAAGGCUCACCAAGGCGACGAUCUGUAGCGGGUCUGAGAGGAUGAUCCGCCACACUGGAACUGAGACACGGUCCAGACUCCUACGGGAGGCAGCAGUGGGGAAUAUUGGACAAUGGGGGAAACCCUGAUCCAGCAAUGCCGCGUGAAUGAAGAAGGCCUUAGGGUUGUAAAGUUCUUUUGUCCGUGACGAUAAUGACGGUAGCGGACGAAUAAGCCCUGGCUAACUCUGUG